RNAcentral lists this ribosomal RNA (715 nucleotides) under uncultured fungus. RNAcentral's name for it is "eukaryotic LSU rRNA". The stretch from base 249 to 402 matches the Rfam family "5.8S ribosomal RNA". The record is from RNAcentral. Lineage: Eukaryota; Fungi.
CUUGGUCAUUUAGAGGAAGUAAAAGUCGUAACAAGGUUUCCGUAGGUGAACCUGCGGAAGGAUCAUUCACAAUAAGUGUUUUAUGGCACUUUUUAAACAAUCCAUAUCCACCUUGUGUGCAACGUUAUGAGACCCUCUAUCGUUAUCUUUUAGGUUACGGAAGGGGGAACCUCUACAACUUACCAACAUCACCUUUAACUUAUUUGUCUGAACAUUUGUUAUCACGAAUUAACUUAAUUCGAAAAUACAACUUUCAGCAACGGAUCUCUUGGCUCUCGCAUCGGUGAAGAACGCAGCGAAAUGCGAUACGUAAUGUGAAUUGCAGAAUUCAGUGAAUCAUCGAAUCUUUGAACGCACAUUGCGCUCUCUGGUAUUCCGGAGAGCAUGCUUGUUUGAGUAUCAGUAAAACACCCUCAGUUUCUGUCUCUUUUGAGACGGGAACUGGACUUGAGCGAUCCCAACGGCGGUAGAAUCUUCUACUAUCGGCGGGUUGCUUGAAAUGCAGGUGCGGCAGGACACAUCUUCUGAGCUAUAAGCAUUACUUAUUUAGUCCCGUUAAAACGGACUAUUACUAUUGCUGCAGCUAAUAUAAAGGUUGAUUGUCCGUUUUGCCCGACUGAUGCAGGAAUUGUCAGAGGCUCUGUCCUUUGUUCAACUCGAUCUCAAAUCAAGUAAGACUACCCGCUGAACUUAAGCAUAUCAAUAAGCGGAGGAA